GGAUCAGUGAUGACUUCCACACAUGCAUUCCUUGGAAAGCUAAACAAAAUGAGUGAAAACUUUAUACCAUCAUCCUCUUCAAACUGAGGUCU
This is a small nucleolar RNA of Chlorocebus sabaeus (green monkey), 92 nucleotides long. Its record names the gene SNORD116. It matches the Rfam family "Small nucleolar RNA SNORD116". Rfam says of the family: HBII-85 is a member of the C/D class of snoRNAs, which contain the C (UGAUGA) and D (CUGA) box motifs. NCBI's taxonomy places the organism in Eukaryota, Metazoa, Chordata, Mammalia, Primates, Cercopithecidae. The record is from Ensembl.